UACAGAGGGUGCGAGCGUUAAUCGUAAUUACUGGGCGUAAAGCGCACGUAGGUGGCGACGUAAGUCGGGUGUGAAAGCCCCGGGCUCAACCUGGGAAUUGCAUUCGAGACUGCAUUGCUGGAGUACGGAAGAGGAGGGCGGAAUUCCCGGUGUAGCGGUGAAAUGCGUAGAUAUCGGGAGGAACAUCAGUGGCGAAGGCGGCACUCUGGCCCAGUACUGACACUCAAGUGCGAAAGCGUGGGGAGCAAACAGG
RNAcentral lists this ribosomal RNA (253 nucleotides) under uncultured bacterium. RNAcentral's name for it is "partial 16S ribosomal RNA". It matches the Rfam family "Bacterial small subunit ribosomal RNA", at positions 524 to 776 of the family's 1533-position model. The record is from RNAcentral.